Long non-coding RNA from Diorhabda carinulata, 360 nucleotides. RefSeq lists it as uncharacterized. The transcript is spliced from 2 exons. The record is from RefSeq and is a predicted model, not a curated record. NCBI's taxonomy places the organism in Eukaryota, Metazoa, Arthropoda, Insecta, Coleoptera, Chrysomelidae.
AUUAUAUUGGUGCGAAAUUAAUUCGAAUAUCAAUUUCCUGUAAAGUAAUGAAGUUCACAAAACCCAGGAUAUAACAUGUAUGAUAUCCCAUUCGAAAUAAUGGUAAUUAACGACCGCCAAUCAUGGAUCAACAAAAAACUUCUGCAAGCUCUAAAUGUAUCUCUCUGGUACAAACAUGGUUCGAAGCAAGGAGCUAGUCUGGGCAUUCCUGGACCAAAAUGCAAGAUCUCCAUACCUCUAGGAACAUCACUCACCUUUUCUUAAGCGCCCUUGAAGUCCUGAAAGCUAUUGAGUGGACGUCCAAACGCAAAAGCAGCUUGUCUUUGAAUCAUGGAUAUUCUAAAUUAUAGUUUUAGAAAA